UCAGACGAUGCGUCAUGCAUAUCAAUAAGCGGAGGAAAAGAAACUAACAAGGAUUCCCCUAGUAACGGCGAGUGAAGCGGGAAGAGCUCAAAUUUGAGAUCUUAAAGGGUUUCCCUUUACGAAUUGUAGUUUAAAGAAGUGUUUUCUGUUGAGGUUUUGGUAAAAGUUCUUUGGAAUAGGACAUCAUAGAGGGUGAGAAUCCCGUAUUUGACCUUUACUUUCAACUUUGUGAUACACUUUCAAAGAGUCGGAUUGUUUGGGAAUGCAGUCCAAAAUGGGUGGUAAAUUUCAUCUAAAGCUAAAUAUUGGCGAGAGACCGAUAGCGAACAAGUACCGUGAGGGAAAGAUGAAAAGAACUUUGAAAAGAGAGUUAAACAGUACGUGAAAUUGUCAAAAGGGAAGCGUUUGACACCAGUGUUGUUUUUCUGAAAAUCAAUUAAAGAACUGUUUAUGCUAAGCUGUUUAGACUUUAUCAGCUAUCUGUUUAGUUUUGAGCUUUUCUUUAAUGCACUUUUCAGUUAACAAGUCAACAUCAAUUUCUUUUGCUGUAAAAAAGCUUGAGGAAGGUGGCUUGAGAUUCGUCUUAAGUGUUUAUAGCCUCUUGCCUAUGCAGUCGGAGAGAUUGAGGUCUGCAGCGUAGAUCCUUCGGGGCUAAAUGCAUUUGUGCUAAGUUAUAGCAUUUUAUAGACAACUUGUUGACUAUGAUUUGUCUUGUAGCUUACUCGCUUAUGUUAUUUUACCUACGCUUAGGAUGUUGAAUCUGUGCGAGACUAC
Molecule: ribosomal RNA, 774 nt
Filed under: uncultured Neocallimastigales
Lineage: Eukaryota; Fungi; Neocallimastigomycota; Neocallimastigomycetes; Neocallimastigales
Description: partial large subunit ribosomal RNA
Rfam family: Eukaryotic large subunit ribosomal RNA
Source: RNAcentral